Molecule: long non-coding RNA, 23683 nt
Organism: Osmia lignaria (orchard mason bee)
Lineage: Eukaryota; Metazoa; Arthropoda; Insecta; Hymenoptera; Megachilidae
Source: RefSeq, a predicted model, not a curated record
CAGUAGCAGCAGCAGCAACAGCAGCAGCAGCAGCACCGCCACCUCCACCAAGAGGUAGAGGAGGAGGAGGAGGAGGAGGAGGAGGUAGGACGGUGGCCGCGGAUGGGCGGCGGUGUUGGAAGAGCGAGAGGGCGAUCGAGGUGGCUGUGGUAACGACGGUGGGUCGUGGGUCGCCCAUUGGGGGAAAGAGAGAAAGAGAGAAUGAGAUAGAGAAAGGUGACCGGAGGCUCCGUGCUGCCUCUUCUUUACUUGGCCAGCGCUGUGGAGGAAACCUAGCGUUGGCUCUGCGCUGCUUACCAGCUAACUGGCGCGGUGGGGGGAAAAGGGGUACGGUUAUGACCAACCAUCAAGGGGGCAGCGUCGUCAUGGUUACCGCGACGACAACAACCCGACUGUUCUAAGGGAUGUUUUUAAAAGCAUAUAUUUACUUUUGCUCUUUUUCUUGGCGAUCGCGUCGAUGCGAUAAGAAAGAAUUUUUCUUUCCUCUAUAUCUAUGUUACAUUCGAUGGCCCGGUUUCAUAGAUCGACCGAAGUUUCUCGUGACCAUUUUUCUUUUUUUCUUUUUUUCUUUUUUUCUUUUUUUCUUUUUUUUUUCUCUCCAUUCUUGAACGUUCGUUCAUCGAAAUUGAAUAAAAUAUCGUAGGCGUAGGAAAUUUUCUAGGCUCGUGUUCCCUAAUUAACAGAUUUUUAGGUGUCGAACUUUGAAAAGUGUCUACUUAGUUUAUCAUGGGAUAUCGAAUGCCUCAUGUCAGUGAAAUGUCAAUGGUAGAUAGCGAAUCUCGAGAAGUCCGCGGCCACAUGAGGCCGACGCGACGGUGUCGAAGCUCAGACUACUGUGAUACCGGUACUGUGUAUCCAUGAUACCCUUAUCGUUUGAUUUUACCGCAGAAAAUACGUCACUAAACCUCAGAAACUUUACUGGUGGAUCAUAGAGUAUUUUUAGACCUUUCGACAACGUAGUCUCCACGUCAUCCACUAGUUUAUCUUUCCGUUUUGAAAUUGAAGUUUCUUGACUCGUAAAUUCGUAUACCAAAUUUGCCAUAAAAAUAUGUGCGAAGUUACAUGUAAUAAAUUCUACAUUUUUACACGUUUUUAAUGGUGAUUCCUGAGAGUUUGUUGACGGUAAAAUGAAACGAACGCGUCCGACGGACAGAGACGCGCAACCUCUGCUAACGAAUCGAUGAUCUCAUGCUGUUUUUUUCAUACAUUUUUUAGAUAUUUCUUUUCGUUCCGUUGAUUUCUAAUCGUAGAAAAAUGAUAAUAAAUUUCGUUACCUGUAGAAAAGGGUAGAAGUAUCUGUACAAGUGAUAAAUAGAUAGUGCUUGGUAUUGUUAUAUAAGCGAUAGGGUCGGUCGAUCGAUUGGCUACAACGUAAUCUCAUUGGUGGAUAUAAUCAAGAAACUGAUCAAUUAUUUUUACCAGAAGUUAACAAACAAAAUCUGAAAGAGUGCAUCCUUUUACGUGUCUCAUUGUCAGACGAAUAAUUAGAAAAUUUACAAUCACUUUGUAGAAUUUAAUUAAAUUGCUUAGCAAAUUGCUUUGGAACGUUUGAAAACGUAGUAAGAUGGUUAAUGUAAAGUAGCAAUGACAUGAAAAGGUACGAUUUUUGUAACCAUUUUUAGAGGAUAUUUAGAAUAUUAACACUGACAAAGUAAUUUCACUUUGAAUGAAACGAGCUCCGACUAGUAGCGAAACCACAUUGACCAAAAUCACUUCACUCGACUUGUAUUAUAUAAUUAGGGGUGUUAUCAGGUUUAAUAUAUAUUUACAGAUCUGAGUCUGUUUUAAAAAGUGAAGUACUGGAAUUUGCAAGCUAUUCUAGAAUAAGUAUCCAUAGUGUUAGAAAGUAAUACAUAUGUAUUUUACCGAGUCUUGAGAAGGUAGUAUGAAAACCUUGAAAGACGAGAAAACAGAGAUAUUAUGUAAACGAGAGUAGGAAAUAGAAUAUUCCUUGGCAUCCACUGUUCGUAAAAAGUUUACUUGUGCUUGAAAAGGUUCGAACCUCUCUCGUCUAGACGUGGAUCCAUAGAGUUCCAAUGAACUCUAAUUGAAUUUGAAAUGAGUGAUUCGAAGUCAGUCAGUCUCGUAGCAUAAACGGGAUCAGAAUCGUUCGAUUUUCCAUCGGUCCAGGACAAAGUAUGGUUUGAAUGUUGGGAAUAGGCGGCGUGUGCCGCGAAUUAGCAGCGGCAUAAAAGCGAGCCCAAGUUUGUAGCGUGUUACCCUCCUUCCUUCGUCUCCGGCCUCCACCACCUCCUGUUCCUCCUCUUGCUGCGCAUCGAGCCGCUCACCCACCAUCACGGGCCAUUAACGAGAGAGUUAUCGACGCGCGAUCUGUCAAUAGGCUUCUCCCAUUCAUAAAUUCGCCCGGCGUGUGGCGGCCGCAUAGUUUUGCCGCGAAAACCACGUGGCGGCGGCGGCGCGCGACGUCCUCUCCGCCGCCGUUGCACCGCAACCAGCCGAGCCGAGACUCUACUACGUGAUUUACGGGCCGCGUCCCCGUUUUAAAUGCAUGCAGAGCAGCAACCGUGCGUGUGCAUCCAUCUGUCUGCCUGUGCAUCUUCCCUCCCUCUUUUAUUUCUCUCUUUCACGCGCCGGCACACGUUGCUGUUCCUACAUAUGUACAUACAAGUCGCAGUCGUCGUAUACGCGACCAAGCGUGGGAGUUUACUACUGCCAUAGGCAUAAAUUUAAUUUUCAAUCUAUCUAUUUUUCAUUUCUAAAUUUCAAACUAUUCAUUUUUCCGCCACAUUUCAUAUCCUUUUACAUAAAUCACUGAGACGCGGUUCUAAUUUCGUGCGCGUUAAAUAAAUAUUAAACAACGCAAUCUUAAACUCUGUAUCUCUGAUAUAAAUUCGAACUUUAAAAGUUGAACUCGAGCAGCGUUUCUUUUGCGUUCGUCUUACUACAUACCAUCGUCACGUAUCAUGUGCAUAUCUACUCUAAACAACUCGCAGUCGUACGUAAGUCCCCACGUGGGUUCCUAGAAUCCACUUUAGACCGGUAUCUCAUCCGAAACCGAAUAUCAUCUUUCAAACACAGUAAUUUGAUCUCAUAAACGUGUAUCGUUCGCAUCUAACCUGAAGUUCAUUCAUCGUUGUAAUUGACGAUAAUUCAUUCGAUAUAUCGCUUUCAAGUUUUCACGAACGAUUGGCGCCGAUUUAAAGUUCCAGGCAACUCCCGCCGUAGAAAAUCAUAUCAAAGAGAAUUCGUAUUCGAAGUUGUCGACAUUAAAAAUUUUAUAUUAAUUUAUCCUGUAUCGUAUCGUAGAUCGCUCAAUCGAGUCUCGCUACGUAUUCUAAAGGUAUUACAUAUGUAUAAAUAAUGAAAGAAUGGCGGUGUGUCUUUUUGUUGAAAUUGCAGAAAGUUUACGGAAGCCUGAUAAUCCCGGUAGGUAUGCACGACCUACGCCACUGUUUGGCGUUUCACUGAUAACAUCGGUGAAUCACGAAUUACGAAUGUUACGUUGCGUCUGGCAUCUCCCACUGUGUUUGUCCCCCUUCGAUGCAAAGACAACCGAAGCACGUGGUACGAUCGUACACGCGCAUACACACAACUUUUCUCUCUCUCUCUCUCUCCUGGCGUUGCACUCUCGGUGCCGUUUUGUUUACGUUACCGUAACACCUACCGCCGCCGAUUCGAAAAAUUUGCAGUCAUCACGCGCCUGUCGUAAUUCACGCAUCGAACGUUCGCCGUUACGCUUCGCCGUGAUGACGUUGAAAACGAGAGCCGAUCUGCCCAUACGAAUAUUCCUUUAGCUUCGAUUAUAGUUAAGCUUCAGAUGAAACAGAUUAAGAAUUAGAUUUUUGAAAUGACCCCACUCGGAUAUUUCGGGCAUCGUUAAGUAUCGAAAUAAAUCAUCGUAACCGAUUGUCGUAAAGAAAAAGGAAAAAAGGCAAGGGAUUCCAGCCACGUGCCAUUAACGGUACAUAGUUGGAUUGCUUGAAAGCAACUUACCACACGACUAUUCACGAAAAGUAACCGUUAACCCGGUGAGACAUCGAGUCCCGAUCUCUUCACGCGACAAGAAGACGUAUCGAUAAUUAUCGUCGCAUCGUUCUAUUCGAGUGCACCACGUCUAGUCGGGACAGUUUUGAGGUAGGUUAAGGUUAAACGCGAGAAUGAACGUUUCUCUCCUUCCGUCACGAUCAAGCUUUUGUACGGGUAAAUUUCACGGCCACCACGUUGGCUUUGAUGGAUCAUGAGGAGGAGGAGGAGGAGGAUGAAGGAGCUGAAUAAUUUUUAUUAUUAUCAGUUGGCGAAACGUAGGUGAACGGCCCAAGCGAAAAAUAGCGUGUUCCCUUUUUGGAAGGUCGGAUGCUCCUCCCGUCGAUAUAACGAAACAGGAAUAAUGGCACCUGUCCCAGAGACUGCCACUCAUCGCGGUUUCCUCCUAGAAUCUUAUUAUACCACUGAUGCGAACAGGUGUUGCUUCCAGUCACCAUGACACUCGACCCUUGUUUCGCCGACGGCUCUGAAUUCUUUCUCCGACUCCACGUUUCUACCGAAUGAUCUCUACCCUGCUGCUAUUCGGCCUUGAACCUUUAAUCCUCUCCGUCGUACCCUCCGGCCUCUGCGCGUUCCUUUCUGGUUUACCGAGCCCUUAUGUUGUACUUUUAUUAGUCUUUAACCGGCGCGGCGCGGCGCGGCGCCGCCUUUGUUCGCCGCUAUUCGAAAUUAUAUAUCGCCGGCUCGUGCCACCCUUAUUGUUUUCUACAUGAAUGAAACUGUGGACCGUAGAGUUAUCGAGUAUGUAUUUUUUUCUGUUGGAACUACGUUUCAAUACUUUGGUGGUUGUAAAUUUGAUGAAAUCUGUGACUGUUGUAAUUUCACUUUGGAUUAUAGGAUUAUCGAUAGAAUUUCAUUUUAAAGUUAUUAAUCUUCAGAUUACAAUUGGUGUUCCAUGUGAUUAAAACAGAUAAUUAUUAGACAAACAUCGUAGUUUGCUUUUCUGUCCAACACUGUUUCGUUCCGUCGUCGUCGUCGUCGUCGUACCCAAGUGAAUACAAAGUGCACGUGGAUGAGUUAGACGAGUGCAACGAGCGUACAACCGCCGUUUUACUAUCUCGACCGUAGGAGCAUCCAAUGAGCACGUGUUGUCGCAUACGCGAUGCGCUCGACCCUCUUUUCUUCCCGCCAACCCAUCGAAAUCCGUGACAUUGGCAAUGGUGUACGUACAUACGUCGACGAUUAUUCAUUUUCGAAUAAAAAUGAAAGGUAGAUUUUCCCGUAGGAUCGGAAGCAAAGACAGAGAGAUAGAAAUAUGUAGCGAAUCUAUGCUGACCGCGAAGCAAUACAACGGAGGAAGCAACAGCUGACGAUAUCGACGUAAACGAGGACAGUUUAUGUACUUUCUACGCGGGUGUACGCGGGAGGGACGGGCAUGUCCUCCACGUGCAUUCGAGAGAGGUUCUCGCGUUACACAGUGGCGGAUCCCCAUCCCCCCGGUUCGUACAUAGAGCGUAAAGUACGAUGUAAACACACAUGAAUGAGCGAGAGAAAGGGAGAGAGAGAGAGAGAGAGAGGUGGCAUAGUAAAACGACAUAGGAAUCGUCGGAGUGUGCGUCAAUGCAUUGUGAUGUCCUCUCUUCUCUUCUACCCCUUUCGCCCUCUCCCUCUACACGGCUACACAACUCUGCACCUCCUCCCCUCUUUACUUUCCCUACCUACCUUCUUCCAUCCCUUUCGACCAUAGGUAGAUCGUUGUUACACCUCGUCCUGUACCAUUCUUGUCGUGCAACCGGAAUACGCUUUGUCCUCCUCGACGUUGCUUCCAUUCUGCACAGUUCAGUCGAUUUCGGUCGAUCGCUGCUGACGAGCUGCUGCUUUCCUCCUCGUUUCGCAGCAUUUUUCCAAUUUACCUUGUUUUAUAGCAAUAGUUUAUGUUCUUAUUGCUUAAAACUUUAUUACAAACUAAUAGGUUGAUACGUAGAUAACUCAAUCGGUAGAGAAAGAGCAUCGUACAGGAAGAAAAGGAAACUUGUUAGCACAUUGAACCUAUUGUAUUACAGUUUCUUGGACAGUUUUAACGAGAAACAGCUGGAAAGCUCAGUAUUGUAUUUAUAUGUGCAUACACAGAAAGUUUCGAACUGUUGUAUGCAGAUAGAGACCGCCGCGCGCACGAGUGUGUACCAAGGUUGGCCGUGAAUGAAGCCUAUUUGCGUACGAGCAAUAACAGGUGAUGCUCGACGGUUGUUUACCUUCCCUAUCGGUAAAAAGUCGAACGUGAAAAUUCGCGGGAGGUGAAGGAGGUGAAGGCGAGGCAACAGAGAAAGACAGAGAGAGUUUAGGUAGCACGUGGUGGUUGUGUUUUUAAAGAAACAGCCCCGAGUCAAUGUUACGUACGAUCGACUUUCAAACAGGUCGUUGUACUAUCACGACAUACGUAACAUUGCACGUGAAACGUACUCGAAGGUCGUGUGCGGCGCGUUACACGUGAACGAGAGAGUUGCAUCGUUAUCGGUCGUUAGUGCGUUUCGAUUAGAGCGAUUAGUUAAGCGACGAUUAGCCUUACGUCAGGAUCCAACGAGAAUUUGCCUCGACUUACAUGCGUACAUGCAUGCUUCUCUGCAUUGAAUACCACUCGCAAACACCGGUGUUUGCAUCACGUUACGUUAAAACUCAUGAUAUUUUUCUCACGAAAUAAGAAAUAAGUCUCUUCAUGGUCCGCCGUCCAAGGGUUAAAGAGAUUUUCUAUAUUUUGUCGAAUUUCAAGAAACGACGUAUCGUGACGUAUUCAUGACAUAUCGUGUUAGGAGAGUAAAAAAUAUGAAAGAUUCAGUGUUGCACCUAUUAAAGUCGCGACACGAAAUCCAAUGUCGCGAUUUACUGUCGGGCAAAAUAGUACAUCUUAUAGCAAUACAUUCGCGUGAUUUACGAGUCCCUUGGUCGGUAGUGUUUCUCUUUUGUCUCUUUUACUCUCGGAACAGUAGACGACGCGCACACACAGCACAACCGUGCAAGGGGAUGUGAGAACGUCCCCCAAGCGAAGAAAUGCUCGGACGGAUCUCCGAAGAUCACGUGCUGCGCAUAACUUACAUUCCCACCACUCCUUUCGGUAGCACGUGCCUCCACGGUUCUCUUUCUAUCUGCAUGUAUGUAUGUAUGUAUGUAUAUCUCUCUAUCUGCUCGUAUCUCUGUCUCGCUUUUAAACGUGCCCUCCCUUCUUCCCUCCCACGUCCGCAUUUGAUUCCACGAUUCGGUUCAAUCGAAUGCUAUACAAUCUUAGACAGUCAGUCGCCUCCCGCGACACCGCACCGACGGACUUGUUACACGACUCCCUACGGCGUGGCGCGGCUCGGCGCGGCGCGGCACAACAGCCACGAGCAAACUAGUCUUCCAUUAAUGGAAUCGCCUGAAAGAAAUAUACGCCAAACAGCUUCAUUUUCAUUUCUAUUGCUCGUCGUCGUCGUCGUCGUCGUCGUCGUCGUCGUUGUUUUUGUGAUCGUUAAACCCUUUCACUAGAAAGUACAGCAGCCGCUUUCGGAUUAUUUAGAGGUGGGACUUUUUAAGAAACGGGGAUUUAUUCAGCGUUAUUGGCUAUUAAGAUUGACGGAAAGAACGGAAUAGACGCGCGUGUGUGAGUAACGCGCGCGUAGAUAUUAAGUUUUCACAAGAAAUUUUCUAUCAAUUACAAUUAUUUUCAAUCGUAACAAACAAAAAACAUAUACCGUCAUCGUUUUUUAAUCAACAUUGGACAGGAUUAAAACGACAUCGGAUGAUAGAUCUAGUUUCAUAACCAGAGGUCCGUGAUUUGUUUUGUAGUCGGACGAAGAUUCAUUGGAAACCUAACUUGAUCCGACGGUGGCCGCUUUCGCGUGACAAAUAGAUCGCCACGUGGUUCGAGUUAUCCCUCGUUUCUCCUCCUCUUUCCCCUGCUGUGCAUCCAGCCACCCUAGUUUCCCCCCUCGUCGUUUCUGGCCAACUGUAAAUUCACGCGCCUACACACAGGUGGCACCGCCCUCUUGCCAAGUGCACGUACCAAGAGCAACGAGUACUUCCCUUCGGUGAUAUAGAUAACACGUCUGUGCACGAGGUGACCGCGUGGCUGUGGCUGCACCGAAACUGGCUAGUAAGAGAAAACUGUCUACCCUCCCAUUCAACAAUUGUCGUAGGCUCUUCCGGACAUAUUUUCAUGCUUAUAUAAUCCAACUCCGAGCAGCAGUGGUCACCACAAAACGCUUUCAAAACAUCAAGUUAUAUCUCUCAUAUUUAUCAUUAUUUUUGCACUUAAAAAGUAUUAAGGUUUUGUAAGAAUGUACUCUUUAACAGAAAAGAAUGUUUAUAAAAAAUUCAUAAGUUUUUCUUUAAAAAAAAAAAAAAAAAAAAAAAAAAACGAAAAAACGAAAAAACGAAAAAACAAUAUCCUAAAAAUGCAUGUUAUUUUCACCGUUUCGGAUAGACGAACUUAUCGUCUCUAGUGUAUUUUUAUUACUCAUAAGUAUAUUAAAUAAUUAUAUUAUAUCGUUCUGAGUACACUUCAUUUAGUUAGAACCAAUAACACAGUUGGGCCAACUGUUUUCGGUACAAAUGCUCCACUGUGCCACGUGCAGUUCCAGACUUUUAAUGUAACGUGCGGAUAUAUUACAUUCCUCGAUUCACCUAGUAAUCGCAGAAAAGGAUUAAAAAUCGGCGAGGUUGCGUCGCGUGUCGCGGUCGUGUGGCACCUCUAAACAAGGCUCUGCUUACGGCCUAAAAAGAUUCUAGUAUGUAUUUAGUUUAUUUUCAAACAUCAAUUUAUACCUACUAUUCAAAAUAAUAUCUUUCUGUUCUUUUCUUUUAAUCGUUCAAGUACGUCUAAUUUGAAUAAUUUAAUGUAGAUGGAAACGAUUUUAAAAUAAAAAAAGCAGGUGCAUUCCUCGUCUUUUCAGCGCUGACGAAAAAGGUACCGAAUUAAUUGACACACCUGACGGUAUGAUGUGUUCGCGACGCACCCUUCGAUCUCGUUCGAAUUCGUGCGUUGAGCGAUUCCGCUCGAAAAAUUGCUUCGACUGCUUUCGCGGAACAUAAAAUCAUCAAAAUACGUUCAUCCACCUUGAAAAUGACCAGACAUUCUCCCCCGCUGCCAGAAACCCGUAGUACCUCCCGAAAUUGUUCAGCGUUAUUUUCGCUGAUCUCCCCCCAAAAACUGUUCCUCCCCACCACCUAGCACCCCAGAGUCAGUGUCCUUUAAGUAAGUUAGACGCCUGCGCAAAUCGAAGGUGGAAAUUCUCGGUUGGCAAUGGUGAGGAUGAUAGGUGGUGGGAUAGUUGGGUGGGCGAUGGUGGGGAUGGAGAAAGACAGAAGGGUGGUAGAUACGGUGUGGUCUGCAUUGGCGGGUGGGUGGAGGGUUAAUAGGACGUUGGCGCCGCGACGGCGGCUGCGAGAAACACGGCCACGUGCGCCCGCUAUCGAACGGGCGCCAUCCCCAAUCUGCUCAACCCAACCCCAACCCCAUCAACCCCUUCUCUGUCUCUCCCCUUAUCCGUCGACCCUCUAUACCCUCCUCCCCUUGCUCUCGUCGCUUCGUCUCUCCCUUUCUUCCCUCAUACCACCACGCCCCUAACCCCUUAUACACGUCCUACCCAACUAUGGCUAUGUAAGAGUGGUGUACAUAUAUGUAUAUAUAGGACGCACACCAGGAUCCUGUAUCUCACGUACAUGAAAUGCAAUAUAUACGUAACUCUGUAUAUAGAGGAUACUCGUGUGCGCUUUAUGUACCACACACGAAGACAAGGCUAGAUUCGUGUGGGUACACUAUCCACGCCGUUCGUAUUCGACUGUACGGUUGUAUUUCAGAAUGAGCUGGAUAUAUCGCGCGAGAGAAGUCGCUGAACAUGAAGUAUACAGUUUAUGCCAUUACCGACGCUUCAACGAAUUUGUCUCUUUUCAAACGAUAGAAUAAUCUGAUAGAAUGGUGGGGUGGUUGCGAGAUGAUGAUACGACUCAGGUUGUGGGUGUAGCAUUGUAUUUUUCACUCUUUUUUUUCGACUGGGCAGAAAACAACGGGGCAUCGUUAGUAGACGUAUUAGAAGUAAACACUUACGAUUAAAGUCGCAUCGUUCGGUUUUUAUACCGAACCUGGGAUACCGCAGACCUUGGUUUAUGCCAUUUCUUCAUUGAGUUCUUCCAAACCAACUUGAAAUCUUAGUUUUUAGUCAAACACGAAUUUUUACUUUAGCCUGAAUUUGAACAGGAAAGUUUCGUUGUGCCAAAAUUUAUCGUUAAAUUCGACGAGUUAGAGAAAUUUCUCCGAAAAUAAGCACUCGAUGAUAAAAUCUUUGGUGGGUACUCGCGCGCCAAAGAAUUUUCAAGGUGUAUCGACUAUGCACGGACGCCUGCGUGCACGCGUAUACACGCGUAUACACGCGUCACAUCCUUCGAAACCAGUUUCACACGGACGUAACCGAUACCUUCGUCUUCCUCGUGGAUCGGCCGAUCUUGCUCUCCUCUUUCUCAUUUUCCUUUCCACCACAAGCACACUCAACUCUCGUCCUGUCCCUUUCUCGGUUACCUUGCCACACAAGGAUACCUCAACUCUCCCAUUCUAAGGCCAUUUUCGAAGUCUCGACUUGUGGGAAUUAUCGCGAAGCUGACUUGGUCACCUCGAACGAGGGUCGAAAGCACUAUAAGUUUCCGAUCUUUCGGAAAUCUGUUCUCUGGAAGCUGACAUUCGAUUGGUAGCCGCUGCUGGCUCGCUCUGUUAUCGAUCUAUUCAAUUUAUGGUUUGUCGAGUAAAAUUAGUCCUUGCAACGUAUCCUUAUCAUAGUUUUAGUAGCACUGAAAGGUAUACUCGAGAUGGUACGUGUUAUAGAAACUGAUCAUGAUCGAUUAGUAUAGCGUGUGAGCUAUAUAGCCAUUGGUCAGUCUAAACGCAGGGUAUUCCUCACCGAAGAGAUUACCAAAAAUGUCUUAUUCCAACACUCUUCAGAUUCUAGAGCCAUUGUUUAUAUCAGUAGCUAUACCAUAUAGAAACAGUACCACUGAUAGAGUGAAGGUAGCGAACAGAACUUACAAUAGACAGGAGCUUAGUAUGUAUGUCAGUUAACUAGUGGAGAAUCGUGUAGAUGAUGAAAGACAUUUAACGCGAGCAGCAAAGUACUAGUACAACAAAGUGUCCUGUGGAGAACGUCUCUUAACAGCCGAAACCGGCGAAUAACGAGCAGUAGCCUUGCGGUUAUUUGCUUAAUGGUGCUUACUGUUGGAUCCACCGCAACUAGAGGCGCCCCCUCUAAUUGCUGACAUGAUCCCUACACUCACCGCUAAUAAUUACCCUCAAGAUAUCGUACGGCGCUUGUUCCAUUCAUCUGAGCUUCACCGGCGUUUCACGGGCCUAAAAUUAUUCAAAUGGGAACGUGAAAACAAAAAGGAUACAGGUUACACGAUCCGCAAACUGAAUACGGAUUAUCAAUUUAUAUUACGGGCAAUUUAAAAGACCGCAGAUUUACUUUUACGUUCAACCGGAUGCCUAGCUAAUUAACGUUAUGUUAUAAAAUAAAUUAAAACAGGAAUUAACAACAUUCCAGCGAGAGUUCUUUAAUGAGGUUCAUUUCGCUUUUACCCCGCGGGUAAAGCGAACUUUUACGAAACCCACCUACGCAACCGCGUUACAUGAGUAUUCUACACUAUCGACGUGCUCUUUUACCUAUCUUUCAAUCUUUUCUAACCUGAUGGUUCCAGCAAGAUACGUUUCCUUCCUUCAGGGUGAACUUGUUUCAAAAAACUAAUUGUGCUUCAGUCACAAUGAAAAUCAUUCAUGUUUUGUGAAUAUUCUUGUUUGUGAAUAUACUUAAUCUUCCCUUAGUUUAGUAAGGGAAGAAUAUAGGGGAAGAAGUGUCCUACUACUUGCCCUGUUCUUCCUUGUUCUUUAAACGCAAGGGUAAGAGAUUCUCUACAAUAGGUUCCAUAAUUGCCACGUCCACUCCAUCGAUAGAAAAAGUUAGAGUAUAAAGAAAAAUCUUGCCAUUUUGUGUAACCGCAUUGCCCGUUGUUGAAUCCAUUAAUGUCCUUUCAUCAUUUUCUGCAAUUUUGCAUGCGGCACCCGACAACGAUUUCGCUCAUCGCGGAAUCCUCGUUUCGAGAGCGCCCGUUAUUCGUCCUCGUCGAGAAGCCUCGAUAUCUCUUGCGGGCUUGCCGCUCGUAUGUGAACGGGCCUGUAUGGUAGAAUGUGUUAGCGAAAGAAAGACAGAGAAACGGUACGUGUAUGUGUGUGUCGUAAAAAAGAGGGGGAGGGAGAGAGAAAGAGAGAAAGAGAAGGAAUGAAGAAGAAAGGAGAAGGCAAAAGAGAGAUCGUAAGUUCUGUAGCAUCAGGGGGCAGAACGUGUUGGACAAAGAGGGACACAUUACUCGUGCAUGGGGCGUUGCCAUGGAAACCUCUGCUUGUUCCACCCUCUCGCGCGCUCGUGAGCGUCAGCAGGAACGAGAGAGAUUGAAGGAGAGGGAGAGGAGAACGUCAGAAAUAGAGGGAGUGAAAGGACGCUUGAGAGAGAAAAAGAUGGUAUUACUAGAAGUGCGAUGGAAAAAGGGAGAGAGAAAACGGUACUGGAACGCGAGAGUAAAACAGGAAGGAAUAGGGCGAGGAAGUGAGAGGGGCGAUUGUCAGAAGAAGGGAGGGAAUGAGAUUGUUAGAGAAAAAGAGAAGAGCGAGCGAGAAAGCUGCCAAACGUGGGGCCGCCAGUGCAAUCAACCCGUUGCCCGCCUGCGAGGGUAAAACUACCCCAAAGUCAAACGAGGAUACGUAUAUUAUAGAGGGAGCAGUACCGUCGUUGUGUGUAUGCCGCCAUAUAUAUAUAUAUAAUAUGUAUGUAACACCGUACGUAUACGUAUUUAUACACGCAAACGAAGGGAUAGAGAAAAAGAGAAAUAGAAAUAAAACGGUAGCGUGUAAAAAAGGAAUACCCCAACUGUUAAACGUUUGAUAAUAGAAAAGAAGCUCUGUCGGUAAAACAGUGGAAUCUAUUACAGCCUCUAUAGUUCAGCCGCCAUUUUAAUUAAACUCCAAAACUACAAUGGCUGAUUCGUGACUCGAUUUUCUGAAAUAAUUGAAUUUUACACGAAAAAUGCUGAAAUAGAAUAGAAAAUAUAUAACUUUAAACGAACAGAUUUACAAUUUCUUUCCAUUAUAAAAUGAGUACCAAGGAGAAAGUGGAUCGUCGUAAUUCAUAAUUUAACUUUUAUUUUAGGGCGUAACUGUAUUAUGUUAGAUCACACAAAGAGUCUUGCAUGCUUUUUUGGAGUUUGUGGGAAAAUAGUAGAAAGUUUUGAAAGAUUUUGAAAAGUUUUAUGGUGUUGACAUAUAUAUGUAUAGAGAGAGAGAGGUUUUUAAGACCACCAAGUAAGUUUCUGAUUCCAACUUCUGAGUAUUGUUGCUGGGUUAUCAGACAACCUAAUAUUGGAGGGUACCGUUAAAAAUAAAAAUAGCAAAUCGACGCGUUUCAUGAAACUGGGAAUUUGAAGAGUAACCCAGAGUUGUUGGUAGGUUCAACUCGGACCCGUUGCUAAAAGGCACCUUGCAGUACGUCCUUGCAGACGUUCCAAAUAUUCACGAAUGGAAAGGAUCAUGGUACAUAUAUACGGGUACGAGGUUAAACUCACGCGCGAGGGUGUCGAGGUUUUCGUUCAUCGUGUUGUUGCUGGUAAGGCUCGUUGCUCUAUUCUCCUGGAACCAGUUUUCCUCUACACUGUCGAGAGAGAGUACGCGCGCGCUCAAAGCAGAGAAAAAGAAACACAUGCUCAUACGAUGAACACGCACACACGCUACGGUACGCAUACGGUGGGAACGCGACGCACAUGUUGCUAUAACUGUGAACCAUAGCAUACAUUUAUGUGCACGCACACGUACAUGUAGUUAAACUAGAAAGUUGCCCCAGCCAGCGUCGAAGAAACGACAGUACGCGCCGGGCUAGAGCCUUUCAAAUUUCAACCAAGAAUAUUUUCCAUGUGUUUUGCUUUCUAUAAAAAGAAGCACAAAAAUCUUUGUUCGAAUAAAUGUAAAAAAAAGAAAUCUUGUACACCCUUCUUACGGCCUAUUUUGAAAAUAAUAUAUUUUCAUUUCACUUUAAUGUGUUUGUUUGUUGUUGUUAAUUGAAUCGAAAUGCUGAAACAAAAGCUUAGAUUUAAAUGAAAGAAAAGAUAAAAGUCCACCCUCGAUAUGGUGUAGAAUUGUUACGCUGACAACCCCAUUCUCGAGAGUAGAAAGUUCGUGUAGAGGUAUUUUGCUCGGCGCAAGAGCGACAUCGUGCGAGACCUCAGAGCGUGGGUAUCAGUACGGAACCGAGUCUACAACGCAUUGGCGCUAUGUUGCCACGUUUCGAGGUCUCUCUUUCUCGUCUCUUCUCUCUCUUUUCCACUUCCCAUAUCAGCUAUCUCGUUCUUUCUUAAGUUUCUCUGGUUACGCAGCGUUGCCGGUUCGACUGGCGGGAAAACUGGGUUUCGAAACAAAUUUUCCUUCGCUUGCAGCAUUAUUUUAUUACCUACCAGUUUUGAUAAUAGUUUCUUUUUUAUAAAUUCUUUUCUCUGUAACAAUGUUACACGAUAAUUUCUAUUAAGGAAUUUAUAUUUUAUUACAACUAUUAAUCUUCAGACUACGGACGGACCGCUAAAACAGCGACUAUUUGAAUUUAAUUUUAGUCACGAUUGAUCCGGCUCCACCGUCCAAGAAUGAAAAAAUUGAAUAAAAUUAUACGUAAACCUUUUAACGUAAUAAAGCUUCUGUCAAAGUCAAUAAUGUACUUUGUAUAGUUGUUGGUGUAAGCUUCUUAAAACUCGCGGCUACAUAGUUGUAUAAAAAGAUUUACUAUACUGGAAAUACGAUUCGAAAUUCUACUACGACCGAUUAUCCUUUCGACUCUAGAAGAAGAGUUAGAGCUGGUUGCUCGAUCUGACGGUGUACAGGGAGAGGAAGGAGGGUAGACGGUUUUAGACUACGGACUCGACGCGUCGGCGUCGAGUUAAAAAUAACAGUAACAGCAGCAGCGGAACAGAGUAGCCAGUCCUCGGUGUCUACGUCUUCUACGUCGUCUAACUUCCACUACUUCUGGAAUCAUCGAUUCUGAACCUAGACCAUUACCAAAAACUAGAGAAUCUCAGCUGAAAACUUGAAAUAAUUUCUACAUAUGUACAUAUUACCCUAUCAUGAAAAUAGGGUCCAUUAGUAGGCUUAUGAGAAAAGGCUCUUCUCUUAAAUCUGAAACUCGUAUGCCAUUAUGUCUAUGCUAGGGACACGUUAAUUAAUGAAAAACAUGAAAAUUAACAGAAACGUUUGCAACCAUAGAGCAAAAUGGAUGCUACUUUUUCCUACAUCGAACACGCAAUUCACGUUCCCUGGCGUCACUCGCGUAGCAGCUUCAUCGCUAAUUGCCGUCCAACGUCGGGAUCGAGCCGAGCAAGAGACGUCAACCGUAACGGCGCAGCCUUGAAGAAACGGUGGCGGUGGUAGCGGCGGCAGCGGCGGCGGCAGCGGCGGCGCGCGUUGUUUCGUCGCGACGACGUCGAAAAAACGACGUGCCGAUCAUGUGCCGCUAGCUGGCGCUGUAUUCGCGUACACAUGAUGGCGUGCCAUCGCGCUCGCGCUCGCGCCCGCCUCUCUUAUGUAUGUAUGUAUGUAUGUACACGUUUUACAAAUUUGACUUUCACGAGGAGACUCGUUGCUUCGUCGCACGUAACCUUGGCUGCGUCGUCGUCGAAACGGGCUGCGAGCGUCGUCGUGCAGCGACGGGACGGAUUUUAUUUUCGUAUCGCCGUCGCCUCGUUGUUUUGCUUGCCCAGCGCGCGCGGCUGACACUCGUAAAUUCGAUGCUCGGUACUUUUCUAAUAUUGCUGGAUGUAUUCCGAUACCACCAACCCUCUUGCAUGAAACGAUACCAAUCGAAAAAUCGAGAGGAUCGUUCCAUAAAAUCGGUGGAAUUGGUCUGUGCUUUUUCCUUCUGGUGAAAGCGAUUCGAUUCAAAAGGAUAAUAUGCACUGAUGCAUAGAAGCUAGAGUAGAAAUAUGUAGCCAUAUCUGGUAAGACGUGAUAAAACGGAUAACCCUUGGACGGAGGGUUAACGUUAGUUGUAUGUAGUAUUCAAAGUGUUAGCAUAGGAUUGCAUAUUUUUUCUACUUUUUCAUUUAAUUCUCGUGUGGGUAUUUAGAUUUUUGCAAAGAUAUGCUGACGAAGAACACUCGUUUGGUGUCAAGUUCUUUGCUUUCCUCGUGUCUUCCUUACACUUGCAAUUUUUCAUAAAGUCAAGCUUCGUUAUAUGUAGGUAUAUUGUCGUUUGUUAGUCGAAAAAUGUUGGUUUUGAUUAAAUUUUAGCACGUGAUGUGUUGCUACGACGUACAUACAUCAUUCACCGUUUCACCCUCUAUUGACCCCUUUCACUGCGUCGUUCUUUUACGUGACAGUCGCAAAUCGAUCGUUAUAACUCAACAAAUAAUUUAUCUAUUAUUUGGAAAGGGUUGAUAUAACUUGACACGAAACUAUUAUUGACGUAGAUGAUAUUAUUUACUUACCAGCUGCAUACAUUAGGGUAUCAGUAGUAUUGUAUAUACGGUUUGAAACAGGUGUCACACUUGUGUUAUAAAUCAAUAUGCAACAGGACCAAGCCUGUGUCACGAUUAAUCUGCACAUCUUAAAAUAGUUUUCGUAUUAUUGUUCAUGAAAGAAAAAAAAAGACUUUCGAUUACAAUUUACAUUGAAUUUGAUCCACAGCAAGGACCUAGUAAAUCAUUUAAUAUUUUCUAAAUAUCUGUAUUCCGCGUUAUUUUUCAAUAUCUCAUAAUCUCCUUAAUGUAGUUGCACUUUGCUCGACAGCAAGCUAGGAAUAGCCGUGGCAGGAUACGGUAACAGUUACGGCCGGGGCCGGUACUGCUCGAGGCGAUCGUGCAAGGACGGUACCGCUACAGGCGAAUAUCUUCCACUGGUAUUCUUCCUUCUUUCGCGGGGAUUUGUUGUCGCGUGAAAUGUUUGCCUCUCUGUUUAUCCAAAUAAUGCAACGAAAAUAUCUCGCCAAGGCGAGAAACGACGUAUCGACGUGCAUAAAUCGUUGGAAUAACGUUGUUAAGUACAGUGCAAAGAGUAAAACGGUGAGAAAUUCGAAGAACGUCGAAGAACGUCGAAGAACGUCAAAGAACGUCGACGAAAUCGAAUUCGACGUAAAUCUUGCACCUGGAACGUCGUAACCUGCGAAACGCAGACUAUCGGAAGCAGCGCGCAUCCUUCAAGCAGGACCAACAGGAUAACACUUGGUGUUGGACAUGAGAGGUCGUUGAAUCCCAUUAAGCGGUACUUGUUCGAUCGUUCUCGCUUCGACCACCUGUAUAACCGUGGUUCUUUUCGACCGAUGCCUUUCUCCAUCUUUGUUCCGACUACGAGCGACGUUUGAGCAUCGACUUGGAGAGGUAGUAGCAAUCAAACAGCAGGAUGGGAACGAUUACGCUGGCGGUUCUACGCGUUGUUUCUACUCUACGUAUUUGCCCGGUGAAUAUCGUGUACGAGCUGAACGGGAAUAUUGCAUUCUCGUUUUCUUGUGUAGCCAACGCAGCCACACCUUUCACCAACACCCAACCGGCCCCUGCUGCUGGUUUAGCACUUCUCUAGCCUGGCAAACAGCACCGAUGCUGGCUGCUGUAUUGCUGCUUUGCUCGGACGAUUGUCUACGGUCCUCGGUUUUGUUUAGACCACCACCGUACAAGUAAUGUACAUGUACCGGCUAACAGUAAACACGUUCACUUGGUCCCAGCUUCGCUGAUAGAGAUAUGCUCCUUGCGGGUGCCAUCAGGACGCACCAUUUUCUAGGAUCUUUUAUUGUUUGAAAUUUGCCGCACUAGUCGCGCCAUUCGCGUUCGCGAGGAAAUUGGUGAUACUGCGGUUACUUACAAUUAGAUUGGGAUAUUUAAACCCUUGUCUUCUUUUAUACAGUUUUUAUUGUAAGAGUAUCUUCAAUUCACUGUCAUAAAAAAGAUUGGUGUGUCAAGGACCGCUGAAGUCGCUUUGCUUAGCAAGAUCGGUAAAAGUUCGUUUCUAAACGUCGAGGACUUAGGGUAGUACGCGUUGGCCUGCUGUCGUCAGUCAUACAUGGGACGGGCAGGCAGGCAGGCACGAUCUGCCUGACGAGGGGGAUUUCUCCGUUGUCGUUUCGACGGGGCGGACAAAAGAAGCUGGGGCCGAUAGCCGACUGGCGACCCUUCGGUACAAUAAAAGGUUCCAACCCUCGUUUCUCUUGGCCGAGGGUAUGUACGGGCUGUUCUACCCCGAACUCAACAAUACGGGCCGCAGUUGCCGAAACCCCGGCUUUUCCGGGACUCUAUGGGGCAGACUCAGGGCCCUGAAGCUUUGCACGCUACACUAGAGCCUUUAUUUUAUUUUAUUGUUCAGACUUACUGUCCAACUAGUAGCAAUCAUAUUUGUCCCUUUUUCUAUUUUCCUAACAGUCGGAAAGGGUUAAAAUUUGGGAAAUUAAGGUGAAAAAUGUUGAAUUCAUUAUUAUUUUAUUAGAUAAAUGAUAAAUCCAAGCCAUUAAAUUUAGUACAGUUAUUUUGCAUACAAUGGUAUUAUGUUAUCAAAUUUAUUUAUAAUUCCUCACAAGAAAUUAAUCAUCACGGUUCAUGUGUUUAGAAAUUGAAGUCAUUUGGAAACUUUCAGUGUCGUCAAGUUCCCUGAAGAUAAAGUCAUUGUUUAUGUUGCGAUGACGCGUUGCUCUCAGUUCUUCGUUACCCUGUGACGAAUACGUGACUAGUCAUGGUUCUCGCUUCUUAAAGCUUUAAUCGCUGUCUGUUUAGGAUUUACAAAGCCUCGCUACCUCUUUUAUUUAUUUAUUACUGUGCAAUAAUUGUAUACACUUCGGUGUAUACAAAAGUAAUAGGAAUAGCUAAUUAUCCUAUUUCUAUUAUAAAUUGGUAAACCAUGCCCAAUAUUAUGAUUUCUAUCCGUGAAACUAUUCAUUUGAUUUAAGUCCUCUGCUUGGAAACAAAUAGCAUCAAUUAAAGGAAUUUCAAGAACAAAAUAUCCAAAAAUCUGAUGCCAAAGUAUGAAUCAUCAUUCGCGUUAUCAACGAAUCGAGUUUCCUAUUCCCUCUGGCAAAAAGGAUCAAUAAUUUUUGGGAAAGAGGGAAGGGAUCGAAGUGAUCCCUAUUCUCCAGCCACGCGUUCAUUAUUCCUAAAAGGUUAAGAAACUCUUGGCGGCGAGGUGAGCAGAUUGCUGGUAAAAAUCGAAAAAAAGAAACAAACCCGCAUAGCGAUCUCAAAUUAUCAAUCAUCCAAGUGGCUCUGCGUCAAUGGACGGUCUAGCAAAGUAGACAUUGAGAGUCACUGCUAUACUGCGGGCCAGGUCGAAGGGAACCUUUCAGAGGAUUCCCCUGAUGUGGCCCGACCCGUCCGACCCUCGUCAAGACCACGUCGAGCCAUCCCUUGGGCCACGUGCAACGAAGGCGAUCAUCAGCGUUUUCUACCUGGGUCCCAGGUAUCGGGUCAUCUGUAAAAGGCCCCCGGACGUUCCCCUAGUAGACGCAUUUUUUGGAAAUUUCUUACUGUCUUCUAUGUAACGAGAACAGGGGGUAGCCUAUUCUGAAAAGGGGUGGAUCAUAAAUUCCGUAACACGAAAAACAGCCGGAUUUUAAGUUAAUGAAGAUUGGGGUGAGAUUAAGGGGUCGCGGUGUAUUCGCCCUAUGAAUGUAAUAAAUAAUAUUUUAAUAUUAAUUUUUAUUAAUAUUUUGAUUUUAAUAUUGAUAAUAGAGAAGGGCUUAGAAGUGUUUAGGGAGAGCCUUGGUUCAUUUUUUUCUUAGCAUGGGUCACAUAUGACUUUGUUAUUCGUAUUCCAAAAAUUAAUCACAUUACAAAUCAAAUAUGUAUUUAAUUCUAUUUUGAAAUUAAAUUCAUAAUUAAUGUAUUUAAAUAUCCGAAGGGGUGGGUUAUGACAGAAAAUACAUAUGUAAGUCGAUGGGUAGCAACAGGUUCAACAAAGACCCUGUAUUGUACAUACUAUGCGCUCUUGAUUGAGCUUUCGUUCGUUCGAAAUUGUAUAACGUUUUAUCGAUCGGUUAACCAGCUAUACAGGUAUCUCGUUGACUGGAUAGAUAAGUGACAAUGACUCGAUCUGAAUUCAACAGUAUCUUAUCGCGGACGUGUAUUCGUUUACUUUCGUCACUGACUUUUGUACGGAAAUACCACAAUUGUCAUUUCUUGCAACACCGACAAUCAAAAAUUAAGAUUUACUUGAAUGAAAUUAUUGGCGUUGAAAAUAUUAUAAUACUGUCACUAAUUUCAUAAUAUUAUCUCUAUUUAUUUGGCAUUUAUAAAUACCCGAAGUAUUUUUCAAGUAUUGUACAAUGGAGAAUUUACGAUCAUCGAUGAAACGAUGAUCGAGUCGAAUCGAUUAAAGGAUCAGGUGGUACUUGUUGAUCGUAAAUGGAAAACUCGAAGCAACGAUACUUCCUAGAGCAGCAAUAUUAACAACGUCGAUACAUGGUUUCAGAGGCUGGUUCACGGCAAAUAUCGACCUACAUAUACAGGGUGUAUAAUUACCAAUUUUUCUGUAAUUUACCUGUUGGUGAACGUUUAUCGGAGCUUUUAUGCUGUUUUGUAUAAUAUAAGAGACGCAAAUAAAUGAUAGGUAGAAAACCUUUUGAGAUUGAUUAAAGUCGAUGGAGAUAAAGGAUUUUAAUUUGAUAGAGGCAUUAAUUCUUGUAUUUAAAAGUUUAAUAUUUAAUGCUCAUCCUGAACACAUAAGUGAAAAUAAAUAACUUUUUCAAGUAGUAGACUCGACGAACCCCUCUUUAGUAUCUCUACUAGGGUUAAUGUAACUGUUAAUGCAGUGGGUCGCACACAUAACCAUAGAACUCAUCGCAUGAAAACUACCUGUUUGCCACUCGCGCCGAAUGCACCUUGCGACCGUCCCACUCGUCAGCACGGUUGCACUUGCGAAUGCACGUCACAGUCGCAUGUGUAUUAUUUAGCGUGGCUGGCGGAGGCACCUGCGACACGCUGUAACCAUCUUAUUCUCUCCUUCUUUGACUUGAUCCUACGAUGGCCAUCACAUAAACUUCAGCCUGCGCCCACUCGUCACCGCGAACAGGUUCCAACUUCAUGUCGCGUCUCCUGUUUCACGCUUCCUCUUUCUUUCCCUUUCCCUUUCCCCUUCCCCUUCUCACCCUUCAUCCAUCACUUCGUCUAAUUAUUGCAAAAAUUUCAACGACACGAAUUCUUUUCAAGUUCAACCCUUUAACCGCGGCGUGCUCUGAAAUGAUAACAUCAGUAUUUUACAGUUUGCGAUCAUUCUAAAAUUUUAAAUAAAAAAAUUGCCUGUUACUAAUUAUAAGUGAUUUUAUUUUAAAUCAAAUUUUAAUAUAAUAAAAAUUCGUAGGUAGUAAAUGGACGUCCUUGGAACGGUGACGGGGACAUGUCACAACACGUGACACGUAUAAGUACGCGUCACCCGUUUCGUUUUUCGCGAAGAAUCGCGGGAAAAACGAUCCCGGAUAAUUGCACCGUUCCUCUCGGCUCGUAGCGAUCCCGAUUGGUCAAGCCCCAUCGAUGCCGAUAAAAUUUAUUAGGAACAAAACGAAAAGAAUUCUCUGUACUCGAUCGGCGUAACCGGAAUUUUUGUCUUUUUAGAGAAGCCGGAUCCUCUGGUUUUUAUUAGAAAUAAAUAUCGAGUAUCUACUGUCGUUUAAUUCUAACAUGGUUUCCAUUUACAAUUUCCUUAUAAUACUUGUUCAAAUUUUGUUAAUUUUUGAUUAAGUAUAGGUGGAUUGGCCAGCCCACAAUUUAAAUAGGGUCAGAUCCACAUCCUGACCCUUACCUAGUUACGUCAAUGACCUACUCUCUCGAUUCAAUUUUCAUUAAUCGAUUCGAACGUCCACGCGUCCGCGAAAUUUCUCCCCUUCCACUGUCGGGGGUUGGUGCAUUGUGUGCACGUGUGUAAGCGGGAAGAUGCCGCCGCGUUAAAAAAGCCCGCCAUGGGCGAAAGGAAAAAAAAAAAAAAGAAAUGCAUGAGAAAGGGAGAGCGACUCGUGUAUCCCUGUCGAAACUUCCACACACAAGGGGUGCUGUCCGUUGUCUGCCAUAUGGUCCCUCUUUUUUCGCCACCCCUUAUACGGCUUUCUUCCCACAUGACAAAGGUAACCACCCACGUGUGCGUGCACGUGCGUGUUUACAGCUGUGCGAGUCGGCUUCCACGAAAGUGAACAAUCUUUUUUGUUAUUAUUAUAAGAAAAAUUGAGCAACGAUAAAAAAGUGGUGUCAGGUGAACGUUUGCUGCCACUUUCGAUAAUUUUAGGACACUUUGGUUUUGGUUUUGGUUCACAUUUAUAUUUUUCUGAUUUUCACUUAACUAAUAAACAAAAUAGGAAAUAAAUUGACUCGCGUAUCAAAUCAUGUCAGAUUCUUGAUGUUUCGAAAUCAGCCAUUUAAUAUGCAUUCGCUGCUUUUCGUACCUCUUAAAACGUUCUUCCCUGACGAAUAAAAAAAAUAGGAGGUCAAUCGAGAGUAAGCGAGAAAACGGAUUUUCCGUGCCUUUUGACACAAGCUACUGGCAUCCGUAACUUUUUCAUACCAAUUAAGGGCUGAAAUACGUAUUCUUUAUUUCAACGAGGCAACGUUAAGAAGCCAACUACAUUUCCGUCUCUGCUCGUUCUCUUCCCGGUUCCUCCAAAUUUUCCACCCCUCUCAUCCGCCCUCUAUUCUCUCCCGUCUCUGUUUCCCUCGAUGAGUGCUCAGGGUGCGGGACCCCUUCGUUCAGGGCACCACAGAUGCCGUUCGUCCUACUAGAUUACGUACCAGUGGUACUCAAACGUUCCACUCGUGGCAGUGCAGUUUUAUCACUCAUCGCCAGGGCAAUAUUAUAGGGUUAAUUUGGCCUUCAUAUCAGAAAUGAUUUCGAUAAGAGAAAAAUAUUUAUCAGUAAUUUUAAGUAAAAAACGAUGUUAAAAUUAAGCAGUAAGCAUUUGACAGUAGAAUUGCUUGGUAGAAUUGCUGAGAGAACCCCUUGCUCGUGUAAGCAACCCUCCGUUUUUGGAGACUUUCCUUUAUUCAUCCCCUAAUGUAGGACCGACCAGUACGCGUAGAUUCACCUCCGCUGGUAUAUACAUACGUAGGAGGGUAGUGUAUUUAUCGCGAAAGUUGUACAUGAACGAUAUGUAGAUACGUUUACACAAAAGGAUCCAGGGAUAUGUAGAUGUAGGAUUCUCGCUAGUGUACAUACAUUAUACGCGGCCAUGUGCGAUGCAUUUAUUGCGCGAGGGUUUGCGCGUGGCAUACAAAUACCCAGUGGCACACAAGUACUCGUAUUUUCGUGGUUGCAAAUGUUAUGCUGCAUGGUGGUAUAAACUGGGUCAACCAUCGGUAUGGGAAACUACGAAGUUCUGUGUUUUUGGUGAGGUAUAACGCUACCGUCUUUUUUCGAACAAAUUUUUUAAUUACGGAUUGAUGAACUACGUAUAGGUGUAUUAAUUAUUAUAUCAAAUAUUCUUUUCACUUCCGGUUCCCCAUAAAUAAAAUUCACAACUAUUUCACAGAUACAUAAGUUUUCUGAUUUUAUAUUCAAAGGUACACGAAGCACGUCGAUGAUUGAGUGCAGUGAUGCGUUAGGGGUAGUUUCUAUCCGCUGUCCCUAUGUAUGUACAGCUUCUUUUAUCAUCGCGCACGUUGCUAAAGUAGAAAUUCAUUCGUCUACGAUCAUAUUCGUGAAGGAUAAUGCUUACUCGUUGCUUUUUUUUUUUUUUUUGAUGAUUUU